RNAcentral lists this ribosomal RNA (468 nucleotides) under uncultured bacterium. Its description in RNAcentral is "partial 16S ribosomal RNA". It matches the Rfam family "Bacterial small subunit ribosomal RNA", at positions 28 to 507 of the family's 1533-position model. The record is from RNAcentral.
GACGAACGCUGGCGGCGUGCUUAACACAUGCAAGUCGAACGGAAAGGCCCUGCGUUUGUGGGGUGCGCGAGUGGCGAACGGGUGAGUAACCCCUGAGUAACCGGCCCUUGACUUUGGGGUAACUUCAGGAAACUGGGGAUAAUACCGUAGAGUAGCUCCUGCUUCAAGGUUGGGGUUGGAAAGUUUCGGCGGUUGGGGAUGGUCUCGCGGCUUAUCAGUAUGGUUGUGGGGAAGUGGCUUACCAAGGCUUGGACGGGUAGGCGGCCUGAGAGGGUGACCGGCCACAUUGGGACUGAGAUACGGCCCAGACUCCUACGGGAGGCAGCAGGGGGGAAUAAUGCACCAUGGGCGGAAGCCUGAUGCAGCAACGCCGCGUGCGGGAUGACGGCCUUCGGGUUGUAAAACGCUUUCGCCUGUGACGAAGCGUGAGUGACGGUAAUGGGUAAAGAAGCACCGGCUAACUACGUG